AUGAGAUCAUCGUGGUGGAUGAAUCUGACCCUGAGUUUGAUUCUGAAAUGUCAAACAUCUGAGUUAUAUUGAUUUUAAUGUCUGGUUAGUGGUUAGUAACUUAUUUGAAUUCAUUUUAGACUGGAUGAUAAUUUACCGGCUAGCUCAUCAGAAUCUUCUAUUAAUGAACCUUCCGGAGUCAAACCAGCUGAUUUGGUAGACGAACAAAGCUCUGGUUCAGUUUCUCCCGGUUCAAGGACAUCUCAACCACAAUUGACGGAUAAGGUCAAGUCAUCAAGCCCACAAAACAUGGAAAACUUCACCAAUUAUCGUUUUUUGAAAACUCGGGAAAAUACUCUUAAUUAAUCAACUAGAACACCUGAUCUUCCAUCCGUUUGGAGCGUUAAGGAUAUAUAUAUGAGGCUGUGAAUGGUAAUAUCCCGACAGCCUCAGCGCUGGCUGCUAGAAGAGUUCUGAUGGGGGACAACCACUGCAGAAUUUGACCUGUUGACGUUUUCGCUCAAGAGGUGUGGCGUACAGUGUUUGGCUGGGUGGAAGUUUCUACACCAAUUAUUUUUGACUCGCUUACACAAAUGAUUUCCCAUUGUUGCAAUCUUGGUAUGAGAAAACAAAUAGAGGAACUGACAUUAGCAGCCAUUGGCAUCGACAAGAUGGUGAGAUUAUAGCAGUCCAACCAUGAAGGAGUUUGGCAUGAACCUGACAUUAGCAGCCAUUGGGAUCGACAAAAUGGUGAGAUUAUAGCAGUCCAACCAUGAAGGAGUUUGGCAUGAACCUGCAACAUAAGCAUCUCCAUGUUUAAUCGAAUGUCAAUGUACAAAAUGCAAACAUAUGUAUACAUCAUUAGUAGCCUUAAGCACUUAAAGCUACAUACAAGUACUGUAAGUAUCACUUUUUGUGUUAUCAGAUGCAACUUUGAAUGCUAUUAUUGAUUUUUUCUA
Molecule: long non-coding RNA, 938 nt
Organism: Helianthus annuus (common sunflower)
Lineage: Eukaryota; Viridiplantae; Streptophyta; Magnoliopsida; Asterales; Asteraceae
Exons: 3
Source: RefSeq, a predicted model, not a curated record